This 295-nucleotide ribosomal RNA is filed under the name uncultured archaeon. Its description in RNAcentral is "partial 16S ribosomal RNA". It matches the Rfam family "Archaeal small subunit ribosomal RNA", at positions 485 to 775 of the family's 1478-position model. The record is from RNAcentral.
CGAGUGGUGGGGACGAUUAUUUGGGCCUAAAGCGUCCGUAGCCGGCUCAGUAAGUCUUUCGUUAAAUCCAACGAUCCUAAUCGUUGGGCUGCGAGAGAUACUGUUGGGCUAGGGGGCGGGAGAAGCCGACGGUAUUCUUGGGGUAGGGGUGAAAUCCUAUAAUCCCAGGAGGACCACCAGUGGCGAAGGCGGUCGUGCCUAGAACGCGCCCGACGGUCAGGGACGAAAGCUGGGGGAGCGAAUCCGGAUUAGAUACCCGGGUAGUCCCAGCCGUAAACGAUGCAGGCUAGGUGUU